GAAUGGGUUUGCCGAUAUCGUUUGUCUUACACACAGAAAUGUUGUCCUGGAUAUGGAGGUUCUUCAUGUGAACCUAUAUGCAGCAAUUCCUGCAAUGGGCGAGGUAGUUGUGUUGCCCCUGAAAUCUGUAGCUGUUGGAGUUGGUAUGGAUAUACUGGAAGUUCCUGUCAAAUACCUGUCUGUAAUCCUCGCUGUCAGAAUGGGUUUUGUAGUAGUCCAGGUGUUUGUUCUUGUUAUACUGGGUACACUGGUAGUCGUUGCG
Long non-coding RNA from Saccostrea cuccullata (small rock oyster), 262 nucleotides. RefSeq lists it as uncharacterized. Lineage: Eukaryota; Metazoa; Mollusca; Bivalvia; Ostreida; Ostreidae. The transcript is spliced from 3 exons. The record is from RefSeq and is a predicted model, not a curated record.